GUCUACGGCCAUACCACUCUGAACGUGCCCGAUCUCAGACACUAAGCAGGGUUGGGCCUGGUUAGUAGUUGGAUGGGAAAAAUAACAGUAGCUAGGAUAUAUACU
Molecule: ribosomal RNA, 105 nt
Filed under: Microcebus murinus (gray mouse lemur)
Lineage: Eukaryota; Metazoa; Chordata; Mammalia; Primates; Cheirogaleidae
Source: RNAcentral